AUUGAACGCUGGCGGCAGGCCUAACACAUGCAAGUCGAGCGGAUGAAGGGAGCUUGCUCCUGGUUUCAGCGGCGGACGGGUGAGUAAUGCCUAGGAAUCUGCCUGGUAGUGGGGGAUAACGUCCGGAAACGGGCGCUAAUACCGCCUACGUCCUGAGGGAGAAAGAGGGGGAUCUUCGGACCUCACGCUAUCAGAUGAGCCUAGGUCGGAUUAGCUAGUUGGUGGGGUAAAGGCCUACCUAGGCGACGAUCCGUAACUGGUCUGAGAGGAUGAUCAGUCACACUGGAACGGAGACACGGACCAGACUCCUACGGGAGGCAGCAGUGGGGUAUAUUGGACAAUAGGCGAAAGCCUGAUCCAGCCAUGCCGCGUGUGUGAAGAAGGUCUUCGGAUUGUAAAGCACUUUAAGUUGGGAGGAAGGGCAGUAAGUUAAUACCUUGCUGUUCUGACGUUACCAACAGAAUAAGCACCGGCUAACUUCGUG
RNAcentral lists this ribosomal RNA (484 nucleotides) under uncultured bacterium. Its description in RNAcentral is "partial 16S ribosomal RNA". It matches the Rfam family "Bacterial small subunit ribosomal RNA", at positions 30 to 507 of the family's 1533-position model. The record is from RNAcentral.